This 73-nucleotide transfer RNA is filed under the name Camelus bactrianus (Bactrian camel). It matches the Rfam family "tRNA". Rfam says of the family: Transfer RNA (tRNA) molecules are approximately 80 nucleotides in length. Their secondary structure includes four short double-helical elements and three loops (D, anti-codon, and T loops). RNAcentral also lists the same sequence under 1 other name. The record is from Rfam by way of RNAcentral. Lineage: Eukaryota; Metazoa; Chordata; Mammalia; Artiodactyla; Camelidae.
GAGGGUAUAGCUUAAGUGGUAGAGUGCAUGCUUAGCAUGCACGGGGCCCUGGGUUCAAUCCCCAGUACUCCUU